CGAACGGGUGAGUAACACGUGGGCAACCUGCCCAAAAGAGGGGGAUAACACUUGGAAACAGGUGCUAAUACCGCAUAACCAUAGUUACCGCAUGGUAACUAUGUAAAAGGUGGCUAUGCUACCGCUUUUGGAUGGGCCCGCGGCGCAUUAGCUAGUUGGUGGGGUAAAGGCUUACCAAGGCAAUGAUGCGUAGCCGAACUGAGAGGUUGAUCGGCCACAUUGGGACUGAGACACAGCCCAAACUCCUACGGGAGGCAGCAG
This 261-nucleotide ribosomal RNA is filed under the name uncultured bacterium. Its description in RNAcentral is "partial 16S ribosomal RNA". It matches the Rfam family "Bacterial small subunit ribosomal RNA", at positions 99 to 354 of the family's 1533-position model. The record is from RNAcentral.